UUCCCUCACUAAAAUGCUCCCAUGCAAGAUUCUAUUUUGGCUUAUGCUGAAGGAUGAUGCAAAACACUCAUCAAAAAAUGGAUGGUGCAAAAGCGGCAAUUGAAUCUUGCUUGAAUGAAGGAAUUUUCAACACUUUGAAAUUUGGAGUACAACAAUCUAAAAUAAAUGAACAAAAAGUAGCAAAAUAGAAAAUUAAUCUGAUGGCUAGUCUUAUAUUUGCUU
This 222-nucleotide long non-coding RNA is filed under the name Elaeis guineensis (African oil palm). RNAcentral describes it as "long non-coding RNA (EGUI_LNC022978)". Lineage: Eukaryota; Viridiplantae; Streptophyta; Magnoliopsida; Arecales; Arecaceae. The record is from RNAcentral.